CCUCAACCAAACCAUUAUUAAGUUGAUAAGCGUGAGAGUGCUUUGAACACUCUUUCGUGGCCUUCCACAUAUAAAGUGUGUGCAAAGUGUGUGCUUUGAACACUCGUACACCGGCUUCACCCUAUCAUGGGGGAGUACAAAGUGUGUGCUUACACUCAGGAGGAGUCUAUAUGCAUACUUGAUGAUGUGAGACGUAGGCAACGAGAAUGAUCAACAUCAUAUCAUUGUGAGGUUGUUCUUGAACCCCUACCCGAACUUGCAUGGUGGGAAUGACUUAACUAAGUGCAAUGGAGCCAACAUCAUAUCAUUGUGAGGUAACAUUCUCUAGAGGCCAAAUAAGAUGGGUACUUGCAAGAGAUG
RNAcentral lists this long non-coding RNA (360 nucleotides) under Malus domestica (apple). RNAcentral's name for it is "long non-coding RNA (MDOM_LNC013578)". Lineage: Eukaryota; Viridiplantae; Streptophyta; Magnoliopsida; Rosales; Rosaceae. The record is from RNAcentral.